RNAcentral lists this ribosomal RNA (322 nucleotides) under uncultured bacterium. RNAcentral describes it as "bacterial SSU rRNA". It matches the Rfam family "Bacterial small subunit ribosomal RNA", at positions 185 to 507 of the family's 1533-position model. The record is from RNAcentral.
UCCGCAUGGAUAUGUUGUUAAAGGUUUACCGCCUUGGGAUAGGCUUGCGUCUGAUUAGCUAGUUGGUGUGGUAAUGGCACACCAAGGCUACGAUCAGUAACUGGUCUGAGAGGAUGAUCAGUCACACUGGAACUGAGACACGGUCCAGACUCCUACGGGAGGCAGCAGUGAGGAAUAUUGGGCAAUGCACGAAAGUGUGACCCAGCAACGCCGCGUGGAGGAUGAAGGUAUUCUAUAUCGUAAACUCCUGUGAGAGCAGACGAAAGACAGAUUAUUAAUUUGGAUGACUGUAUGCUCAGAGGAAGCCCCGGCUAACUACGUG